UACAGAGGGGGCAAGCGUUGUUCGGAAUUACUGGGCGUAAAGGGCGCGUAGGCGGCCUUCUAAGUCGAACGUGAAAUCCCUGGGCUUAACCCAGGAACUGCGUCCGAUACUGGAAGGCUGGAGUUCGGGAGAGGAAUGUGGAAUUCCAGGUGUAGCGGUGAAAUGCGUAGAUAUCUGGAGGAAUACCGGUGGCGAAGGCGGCAUCCUGGACCGACAUUGACGCUGAGGAGCGAAAGCUAGGGGAGCAAACGGG
Molecule: ribosomal RNA, 253 nt
Filed under: uncultured bacterium
Lineage: Bacteria
Description: partial 16S ribosomal RNA
Rfam family: Bacterial small subunit ribosomal RNA
Source: RNAcentral